GAUUGAACGCUGGCGGCAUGCCUUACCCAUGCAAGUCGAACGGCAGCACGGGUGCUUGCACCUGGUGGCGAGUGGCGAACGGGUGAGUAAUACAUCGGAACAUGUCCUGUAGUGGGGGAUAGCCCGGCGAAAGCCGGAUUAAUACCGCAUACGAUCUACGGAUGAAAGCGGGGGACCUUCGGGCCUCGCGCUAUAGGGUUGGCCGAUGGCUGAUUAGCUAGUUGGUGGGGUAAAGGCCUACCAAGGCGACGAUCAGUAGCUGGUCUGAGAGGACGACCAGCCACACUGGGACUGAGACACGGCCCAGACUCCUACGGGAGGCAGCAGUGGGGAAUUUUGGACAAUGGGCGAAAGCCUGAUCCAGCAAUGCCGCGUGUGUGAAGAAGGCCUUCGGGUUGUAAAGCACUUUUGUCCGGAAAGAAAUCCUUGGCCCUAAUACGGUCGGGGGAUGACGGUACCGGAAGAAUAAGCACCGGCUAACUACGUG
RNAcentral lists this ribosomal RNA (487 nucleotides) under uncultured bacterium. Its description in RNAcentral is "partial 16S ribosomal RNA". It matches the Rfam family "Bacterial small subunit ribosomal RNA", at positions 27 to 507 of the family's 1533-position model. The record is from RNAcentral.